GUACAUGUGAUGAAGCAAAUCAGUAUGAAAAACUCAUGAUACUGUAAACGCUUUCUGAUGUA
Small nucleolar RNA from Cricetulus griseus (Chinese hamster), 62 nucleotides. Ensembl annotates it as small nucleolar RNA Z39. Lineage: Eukaryota; Metazoa; Chordata; Mammalia; Rodentia; Cricetidae. The record is from Ensembl.